UUGUUGUGGACAGAUAAAAUGCACAUGGGAGUCAAUACCACCUGCGGUGACUAUCAUACCUUCACCUGCGAUAACCUCAGUUCCAGCACCUAUCUGAAAAUCCACAUUAUCUUGUAUAUCUUUGUUGCCAGCUUUACCAAUGGCAGCAAUUCUGCCAUGUUUAAUACCGAUAUCAGCUUUAAAGAUCCCUGUGUAAUCUACAAUGAUGGCAUUAGUAAUUACAGUAUCUACAGUAUCUUUAUCUAAAGCCUGAGAUUGACCUUGACCAUC
RNAcentral lists this small RNA (270 nucleotides) under uncultured Succinivibrio sp. Its description in RNAcentral is "5' ureB small RNA". It matches the Rfam family "5' ureB small RNA". The record is from RNAcentral. Lineage: Bacteria; Pseudomonadati; Pseudomonadota; Gammaproteobacteria; Aeromonadales; Succinivibrionaceae.